This 460-nucleotide ribosomal RNA is filed under the name uncultured bacterium. Its description in RNAcentral is "partial 16S ribosomal RNA". It matches the Rfam family "Bacterial small subunit ribosomal RNA", at positions 338 to 795 of the family's 1533-position model. The record is from RNAcentral.
CCUACGGGCGGCAGCAGUGAGGAAUAUUUGUCAAUGGGCGCGAGCCUGAACCAGCCAAGUAGCGUGAAGGAUGACUGCCCUACGGGUUGUAAACUUCUUUUAUAAAGGAAUAAAGUGAGGCACGUGUGCCUUUUUGUAUGUACUUUAUGAAUAAGGAUCGGCUAACUCCGUGCAAGCAGCCGCGGUAAUACGGAGGAUCCGAGCGUUAUCCGGAUUUAUUGGGUUUAAAGGGCGCGUAGAUGGGUUGUUAAGUCAGUUGUGAAAGUUUGCGGCUCAACCGUAAAAUUGCAAUUGAUACUGGCAGCCUUGAGUACAGUUGAGGUAGGCGGAAUUCGUGGUGUAGCGGUGAAAUACUUAGAUAUCGCGAAGAACUCCGAUUGCGAAGGCAGCUUACUAAACUGCAACUGACAUUGAUGCUCGAAAGUGUGGGUAGCAAACAGGAUUAGAUACCCGAGUAGUC